This 130-nucleotide small nucleolar RNA is filed under the name Leptobrachium leishanense (Leishan spiny toad). RNAcentral's name for it is "Small nucleolar RNA SNORA3/SNORA45 family (ENSLLEG00000025544.1)". It matches the Rfam family "Small nucleolar RNA SNORA3/SNORA45 family". Rfam says of the family: The members of this family belong to the H/ACA class of snoRNAs which are thought to guide the sites of modification of uridines to pseudouridines. This family includes mouse snoMBI-28 and human homologues ACA3 (SNORA3) and ACA3-2 (SNORA45). Both ACA3 and ACA3-2 share the same host gene. The record is from Rfam by way of RNAcentral. Lineage: Eukaryota; Metazoa; Chordata; Amphibia; Anura; Megophryidae.
GCCGAGGCUAGAGUCACGCCGUGGCCUCGCUGGUUGCCUCGAUGUGCUAAAGUCCUCGCAGAGGAAUCACUGAUCUUUAUUCACUGGUUGUGUCUCUGUGACUCUACCGGUCACCGGCUCAGUGACAACA